Long non-coding RNA from Pocillopora damicornis (cauliflower coral), 133 nucleotides. NCBI's taxonomy places the organism in Eukaryota, Metazoa, Cnidaria, Anthozoa, Scleractinia, Pocilloporidae. The record is from RefSeq and is a predicted model, not a curated record.
UUGCCACUUGCAAGCAAGAAAUAGAAGUUUUGAAGUUGCGGAAACAACUGAAGGAACUUGAAGAAGAAAAUGAAAGUCUAAGCUCAAUACCGUAAUUAAGUGAAUAAAAUUAGCUACUCAGUUUAACUUUCAA